Molecule: ribosomal RNA, 1398 nt
Filed under: Salmonella enterica subsp. enterica serovar Oslo
Lineage: Bacteria; Pseudomonadati; Pseudomonadota; Gammaproteobacteria; Enterobacterales; Enterobacteriaceae
Description: bacterial SSU rRNA
Rfam family: Bacterial small subunit ribosomal RNA
Source: RNAcentral
CUACUGGAAACGGUGGCUAAUACCGCAUAACGUCGCAAGACCAAAGAGGGGGACCUUCGGGCCUCUUGCCAUCAGAUGUGCCCAGAUGGGAUUAGCUUGUUGGUGAGGUAACGGCUCACCAAGGCGACGAUCCCUAGCUGGUCUGAGAGGAUGACCAGCCACACUGGAACUGAGACACGGUCCAGACUCCUACGGGAGGCAGCAGUGGGGAAUAUUGCACAAUGGGCGCAAGCCUGAUGCAGCCAUGCCGCGUGUAUGAAGAAGGCCUUCGGGUUGUAAAGUACUUUCAGCGGGGAGGAAGGUGUUGUGGUUAAUAACCGCAGCAAUUGACGUUACCCGCAGAAGAAGCACCGGCUAACUCCGUGCCAGCAGCCGCGGUAAUACGGAGGGUGCAAGCGUUAAUCGGAAUUACUGGGCGUAAAGCGCACGCAGGCGGUCUGUCAAGUCGGAUGUGAAAUCCCCGGGCUCAACCUGGGAACUGCAUUCGAAACUGGCAGGCUUGAGUCUUGUAGAGGGGGGUAGAAUUCCAGGUGUAGCGGUGAAAUGCGUAGAGAUCUGGAGGAAUACCGGUGGCGAAGGCGGCCCCCUGGACAAAGACUGACGCUCAGGUGCGAAAGCGUGGGGAGCAAACAGGAUUAGAUACCCUGGUAGUCCACGCCGUAAACGAUGUCUACUUGGAGGUUGUGCCCUUGAGGCGUGGCUUCCGGAGCUAACGCGUUAAGUAGACCGCCUGGGGAGUACGGCCGCAAGGUUAAAACUCAAAUGAAUUGACGGGGGCCCGCACAAGCGGUGGAGCAUGUGGUUUAAUUCGAUGCAACGCGAAGAACCUUACCUGGUCUUGACAUCCACGGAAGUUUUCAGAGAUGAGAAUGUGCCUUCGGGAACCGUGAGACAGGUGCUGCAUGGCUGUCGUCAGCUCGUGUUGUGAAAUGUUGGGUUAAGUCCCGCAACGAGCGCAACCCUUAUCCUUUGUUGCCAGCGGUUAGGCCGGGAACUCAAAGGAGACUGCCAGUGAUAAACUGGAGGAAGGUGGGGAUGACGUCAAGUCAUCAUGGCCCUUACGACCAGGGCUACACACGUGCUACAAUGGCGCAUACAAAGAGAAGCGACCUCGCGAGAGCAAGCGGACCUCAUAAAGUGCGUCGUAGUCCGGAUUGGAGUCUGCAACUCGACUCCAUGAAGUCGGAAUCGCUAGUAAUCGUGGAUCAGAAUGCCACGGUGAAUACGUUCCCGGGCCUUGUACACACCGCCCGUCACACCAUGGGAGUGGGUUGCAAAAGAAGUAGGUAGCUUAACCUUCGGGAGGGCGCUUACCACUUUGUGAUUCAUGACUGGGGUGAAGUCGUAACAAGGUAACCGUAGGGGAACCUGCGGUUGGAUCACCUCCUUACCUUAAAG